RNAcentral lists this ribosomal RNA (855 nucleotides) under uncultured archaeon. RNAcentral's name for it is "bacterial SSU rRNA". It matches the Rfam family "Archaeal small subunit ribosomal RNA", at positions 23 to 861 of the family's 1478-position model. The record is from RNAcentral.
CCCCCCGUUUCCGGUGGGUCUAGAAUGCUAGUCUGCGUCUUCUAGCCUGGUGAAGAUGCGGCAUACAGCUCAGUAACACGUGGCUAACCUACCCUUAGGACGGAAACAUCCCCGGGAAACUGGGGUCAAUUUCCGAUAGGUGAAAAUUCCUGGAAAGGUUUUUUGCCCAAAGGGUGUUUGGAUCAUGCUUCUAGGCGUUGCCCAAGGAUGGGGCCGCGGCCGAUCAGGUUGUUGGUGAGGUAACGGCUCACCAAGCCUUUAACCGGUGCGGGCCGUGGGAGCGGGAGCCCGGAGAUGGGCACUGAGACAAGGGCCCAGGCCCUACGGGGCGCAGCAGUCGCGAAAACUUCGCAAUAAGCGAAAGCUUGACGGGGCUAUCCCGAGUGCCAUCCGCUGAGGAUGGCUUUUACCCAGUAUAGAUAGCUGGGGGAAUAAGGAGAGGGCAAGUCUGGUGUCAGCCGCCGCGGUAAUACCAGCUCUCCGAGUUGUGGGGAUAUUUAUUGGGCCUAAAGCAUCCGUAGCCGGCUGAACAAGUCCCCUGUUAAACCCAGCGACUAAUCGUUGGUCUGCGGGGGAUACUGUUCGGCUAGGGGGCGGGAGAGGCCGUCGGUAUUCCUGGGGUAGGGGUGAAAUCCUAUAAUCCCAGGAGGACCACCAGUGGCGAAGGCUGUCGGCUAGAACGCGCCCGACGGUGAGGGAUGAAAGCUGGGGGAGCGAACCGGAUUAGAUACCCGGGUAGUCCCAGCUGUAAACGAUGCAGGCUAGGUGUUAGGGCGGCUACGUGCCGCUCUAGUGCCGCAGGGAAGCUGUUAAGCCUGCCGCCUGGGAGUACGGCCGCAAGGCUGAAACUUAAAG